This 121-nucleotide ribosomal RNA is filed under the name Clonostachys rosea. RNAcentral describes it as "partial large subunit ribosomal RNA". The record is from RNAcentral. Lineage: Eukaryota; Fungi; Ascomycota; Sordariomycetes; Hypocreales; Bionectriaceae.
CGGCAACAGCUCAAAUUUGAAAUCUGGCGCAAGCCCGAGUUGUAAUUUGUAGAGGAUGUUUCUGGCGACGUGCCUUCCGAGUUCCCUGGAACGGGACGCCAUAGAGGGUGAGAGCCCCGUA